Molecule: ribosomal RNA, 492 nt
Filed under: uncultured bacterium
Lineage: Bacteria
Description: partial 16S ribosomal RNA
Rfam family: Bacterial small subunit ribosomal RNA
Source: RNAcentral
AGUGAACGCUGGCGGUAGGCCUAACACAUGCAAGUCGAACGGCAGCACAGUAAGAGCUUGCUCUUACGGGUGGCGAGUGGCGGACGGGUGAGGAAUACAUCGGAAUCUACUUUUUCGUGGGGGAUGACGUAGGGAAACUUACGCUAAUACCGCAUACGACCUACGGGUGAAAGCAGGGGAUCUUCGGACCUUUCGCGAUUGAAUGAGCCGAUGCCGGAUUAGCUAGUUGGCGGGGUAAAGGCCCACCAAGGCGACGAUCCGUAGCUGGUCUGAGAGGAUGAUCAGCCACACUGGAACUGAGACACGGUCCAGACUCCUACGGGAGGCAGCAGUGGGGAAUAUUGGACAAUGGGCGCAAGCCUGAUCCAGCAAUACCGCGUGGGUGAAGAAGGCCUUCGGGCUGUAAAGCCCUUUUGUUGGGAAAGAAAAGCAGCAGGUUAAUACCCCGCUGUUCUGACGGUACCCAAAGAAUAAGCACCGGCUAACUUCGUG